RNAcentral lists this long non-coding RNA (335 nucleotides) under Fukomys damarensis (Damara mole-rat). RNAcentral describes it as "lncRNA (ENSFDAG00000028015.1)". Lineage: Eukaryota; Metazoa; Chordata; Mammalia; Rodentia; Bathyergidae. The record is from RNAcentral.
AAGCGGACGGCUGACGGAGUAGCUGACAGUGCUCAGCGCCAGGAGUCCCUCCAGAGCCCUCCAUCCGCAGCAUGAUUCUAGCACCAGUGAGACUGGAAGGAGAUGGGGCCGUUAUCCCUGUUGCUUCUUAACGGCAGCCUUUGUUUCCACUUGGAAAAUGACUUGGGACAAAGGUAAUUCUUGGUCCUGCACCGUCAAAAUAUUUGUUAUGUUUAUUUUGUUUCUGGUUCUUCAAGCCAGGAAUCGCAUUUCAAGUUGGCAUGACUGUUCUCAGGGAAGGCUACAGGAUAUACAUUAUACUGAGGCAGAGGAGGAGGAAGAAAAAUAGAAAGGAA